This 418-nucleotide small RNA is filed under the name Rhizopogon luteolus. RNAcentral describes it as "eukaryotic LSU rRNA". The stretch from base 25 to 179 matches the Rfam family "5.8S ribosomal RNA". Lineage: Eukaryota; Fungi; Basidiomycota; Agaricomycetes; Boletales; Rhizopogonaceae. The record is from RNAcentral.
GAAAAAAAAAAAAAAGUUUAUUACAACUUUCAGCAAUGGAUCUCUUGGCUCUCGCAUCGAUGAAGAACGCAGCGAAACGCGAUAUGUAAUGUGAAUUGCAGAUCUACAGUGAAUCAUCGAAUCUUUGAACGCACCUUGCGCUCCUUGGUAUUCCGAGGAGCAUGCCUGUUUGAGUGUCAGUAAUUUCUCAACCCCUUUCAAUUAACUUAGGAUGGGAGCUUGGAUAGUGGGGGUUUGCAGGAAACUUGGAUCUUUUCUUUAACUAGAAAAAGUCUAGGAUUCGGGCUCUCCUGAAAUACAUUGGCUUGCGGGUCUACUUUCGACUUUGUGCGAUAAGGCUUUCGGUGUGAUAAUGAUCACCGUGUGCUGAAGUGCAUAACUGUAAAGUUCCGUGCCUCUAAUAUUGUCGAUCCUAGUU